Non-coding RNA from Acanthosepion pharaonis, 114 nucleotides. Lineage: Eukaryota; Metazoa; Mollusca; Cephalopoda; Sepiida; Sepiidae. The record is from the annotation of a GenBank genome assembly.
UUACGGCCAUGUCACGUUGGCACACCGGAUCCCAAACGAUCACCGAAGUUAAGUAACGUCGAGCUUAGUUAGUUUCUAGAUGGGUAACCGCUUGGAAAUACCAGGUACUGUAAG